This 4010-nucleotide long non-coding RNA is filed under the name Pelobates cultripes (western spadefoot toad). Lineage: Eukaryota; Metazoa; Chordata; Amphibia; Anura; Pelobatidae. The record is from RNAcentral.
GUAAAAUGUAAAUUUAUUUCUGUAUGUUGAUGACAAGCAGAUGCUUUUAUUAAGAAAAAUGCAUUAACACUUAACACACAAUUUAGGAUGUGAUUUGAUUAAAUUAGGGAGUAUUUUAUGCCGGCACAUUGCAGGUGAUUUAUCAAGCCAAAACAUAUGCUAUUAUAUUGAGAAAGAAUGUAUAUUAGUUUCCAUGGUGAGUGGACGUUUGGUACUUUGCUCUAGAAUAGCACCUGUUUUAGUCUUGAUAAAUUUCCCUCAUUAUAUUACUACCUUAUUUUCUUGAACAGGUUUUAAUAUAUACAUUUUUGUAUACAUUAUAUAUAUUUAGAUACUAAUAUAAACACAUCACAUUAACAUAUAAAAAUAGAUUGUACCACACCCAGCUGUUACAUGUAAAUUGCAAACCCAAAUACUCAGUAAAGUCUUACAAUAAAUAAAAUAGUAUGUUAAAACAAAUUCUUUUUUUAAGUAAAACUGCAUGUGAUGCACUCUACCACUUUAAGACGAGCAGCAUUAUAACGCAAGGACAUACUGAGAGCUACAAGGAGUGAAAUAAAAUACAAAUAAGCUAAUGCAUUUUAUAUCAAAGUUGUUUUCUAAAACCGUAAUGUUUCAAAUAAUGGUAAGAGACUAGAAAAUGCACAGGUGAAAAUAAACUAACAGCAGAUCUCUGAACGUUACAGAACAAGCAGCACAAAUAACAAAAGACAUUUUCUAUAACACUAAUUUAUAUACAAAUUGAGGUUGAUGCUUUAUUGUCAUUUUAAUCUGGCUGCAUAUAAAAUAAUGAAAAUAUAGGCAAAUACAUUUUAGAAACAAAAUACAUUCUUCUUUACUCUUUUGUCACACAACAUAUUAUAAAAAUAUUUCACAGUCAGAAUUACUCAUUUAGCACAGUAGCAAACUAGGUAUUUGUACAAUCUGCAAGACACAAACUUUUCAUAACCCUAUAUGUGUUCUACAGAUAGACAGACGGACGGACAGACAGACAGAUAGAUAGAUAGAUAGAGAUAUAGAUAGAUGGAUAGAUGGAUAGAUAGAUAGAUGGAUAUAUAGAUGGAUGGAUAGAUAGAUAGAUGGAUAUAUAGAUGGAUGGAUAGAUAGAUAGAUAGAUAGAUAGAUAGAGAGAGAGAUAGAGAGAUAGACAGAUUGAUAUAUAGAUAGAUGGAUAGAUAGAUAGAUAGAUAGAUAGAUAGAUCGAGAUAGAGAUAGAUCGAUAUAUAGAUAGAUGGAUGGAUAGAUAGAUAGAUAGAGAAAUAGAUGGAUAUAUAGAUGGAUGGCUAGAUAGAUAGACAGACAGACAGAUAGAUAGAUAGAUAGAUAGAUAGAUAGAUAGAUGGUUCUUCUGUAUAAAUUAGUAGUUAUUUUAAAUGAGUUAUUUAACAUUUUUAGUGGAGAUAGUUCUUUCUCUACUUACGCCACUGCAAUAUUAAUGAAAGGUAAAUAUUGUACCCUUAUGCAAUAAGUGCAAAUAUCUGUAAGGUACUAUUUCUCCUAGAUUUUCUGGGAGUGCAUUGCGGUUCAUAAAUUCCAUGCUGGGAUCAAAAGUGAUAUAUAUGAAAUUUGUAUCAGGUUGUACCUGAACAGUCUUGCAAAUGAUGAAAAUACUAAUUUAAAAAAAAAAAAGAAACAAAAAACCCCCCAAACAAACAAGAAACUAAAGCAAAGAUGCAAAACAAAAUGGAGAGGGCUUUUAAAAUAACAAAUGGCAAAUAUUAGCCGGUUGCCUUUCUGUGACAGCUGCUCUUUAAUUAAACAAUUUUAAACAAAUAAAUACUUGAAAUUUCUGACAUUGAACCCCUUUCUACUUAUUACCGCUAAGCACAAACUCUACCAUCUUUAACUUAUUUUGCCUGCCUAUUGGUUUUUGAUCUUUUUUUAUCAAUUUACAAACAUGUAAAAGAAAUUGAAUUCACCAGGGAACAGCAAAUAGAUAAAAAUGUUUAACUUGAAGUCAGCUGCUAUUCUAACACAGCUAUUUUCACCAUAAAAUAUUUAUGUUUUUUGUUUUAUUUUAUCAAUUCAAUAUUUAAUGAAUACUCCUGUAAGUUAAAUAUAUAUUUUUUGGUAUUUCCCUACUGAAAUUUCAUAUUUGUAUUUAUAUUCAUUAAAAUUCUACUCAAAGUUGCAUUUUAAUAUUAACACUCUGGGGUUCUAGAUCACACACACACUAUGCACUGGCAAUUAUUUAUCAAUUAAAUUUUCCAUUUUUAGAGUGUAGAUUUCAUAAUUUUCUCAAAAGGAACACAAGUGAAAAAAACAGAAGGGUAACUCACUAAAGUGAGAAUUCAAGCUGAACUGGGACAAAAACAUUUCAAUUAGCUCUGCUAUACUCUGCACUUAAAAUUGAAAUUUACUUAGAAUUUUCAAUGAAUUCUCACUUAUAUAAAUAACCUUGCAGGUUCCUGGCCAACACGACAUGAUGGCUUCUGGUUAUAAAUCAUCUAGUUUUGGUGAUAUGUAGAGAUGAUCAAAUUACCAAUCUACAGUGUAGACAGUUCAUUUUUAAAGUGUUACUAACUGUCAUGGAAAAGACAAUUUUAUAAAAAAAAUAAAAGUACAUAUAAUUUCAUCUAUACCUUGUGCUAGCAUAACUAUGCUAAUGUUUUUGGCCGAAAUUAUUGUUUUUGGGAUAUUAUUUUGUUUUAUGUAUACCUGAAGUUCAGUUGAAUGUUUGUUCAUUUUUGCUGAAUUCCAAUUUGGAAACUGAAUCAGGAGAACAUAACAAAAAGGCAUGUAAAUAGGCCAAGCAGUGUGCUGCGAGAUAUUUUUUUUUUUAUAUUUUUUUUAUUUUUUUAAUACUUUUUUCACAAAUAAUGCAAAUAGGAUAUAGACAGUGAAUGUUUAGAAUAUGCUCAGUAACAUUAAUCCAAAUUCUUAGUGAGAUUCAUCAAAUCAGGAUAUACAAAAAAAACUUACAUUACAAAACAUAAACUCUGAUGUCUGGUGGGGGGAAGUAACCUAAGGGUGAUUUAUUUCUGCUUCUUUUUUUGAUUGUCACAGGGCCAAUAUUUAUAGCACGUUUUUACUUUUUGGUAUUUGGUUAAUCAAAUAGGGUAAGUCACUAAUCCCACAUAUCAUAUUUCUUGCGCGAAUUCAAGUAAGGUAGGCUCAAAUCCUUUUCCAUCCUGAUUUGUUCAAGAAUUUGAGUCUUAACCAUGACUCACGUUAUUUCAGUAUUACUCUUCCAAUUACAGGCUAUAAUAGUUUUAAAAGCAACUAGACAGUGGGUAAUUAAAGAUAUAAACGUAAUAUAAUAUGUAUAUAUUUUGCAGUACACUGAUAGGAGCAUGUUCUGCCAUUUAGUUCAGAGGUCAAGUAAGACAAAGUAACCAAUAGAAGGAAAAAGAGGAGGAGGAUUUAAAAAAAUCAAUAUUUUUAUAUUUAAAAAUUAUAUAUUGAUUAAAUAUGAUAGAUAGAUUUGUUACUAUUCCUCUUGUUUUUCCCUCAGUUACUCACUUCUCACUUGACCUGUAAAUAGAAUCAACAUUUGGCGACUGUCCCCUAGCCUUCAAUCAUCUUUUUUUUGUCAUCAUCAAUCAUCUUUUUUUUGGCUCAACAGGCAGAAUUCAGAAUAUUAACUCCACUGUUUGGUUAGUCCAACAUCCUAAAACUAGCUAUGAUUUGUGAUUGCUGUGGGAAUAUAACAACAGAAUGACAGACAAAGUAACAAUGACAAUAAAAGAGCUUAAGGUUAACAUUUACCUGGGGACCAGAUUGAGAUGAAUCUUCAAAAUGAUCAUUUAUGAUCGUGAUAGCUCACCCCAUUUAAAAUGGUACACCACAACCAAAUGACAUAAUCAAAUAACAUAAUCAAAGUCCAUGAUGCAGUUUUAAAUGUGUAGAUGCUUAUAUUUAACAGUAGCCACUAGACUGCUGUCCCAGCUAAACCCAAAUAUUGGUUUGUUAGCUUUGUUUUCAAGCUACCACAAUAUAGAGUUCAGAAAUUAAUUAAAUUAAAAGACAGCUAUGAUUCAGUUACUUUUAUAAAAUAAAAUGACUUCUCU